Molecule: ribosomal RNA, 497 nt
Filed under: uncultured bacterium
Lineage: Bacteria
Description: partial 16S ribosomal RNA
Rfam family: Bacterial small subunit ribosomal RNA
Source: RNAcentral
GAUGAACGCUGGCGGCGUGCCUAAUACAUGCAAGUCGAGCGAACAGACGAGGAGCUUGCUCCUCUGACGUUAGCGGCGGACGGGUGAGUAACACGUGGAUAACCUACCUAUAAGACUGGGAUAACUUCGGGAAACCGGAGCUAAUACCGGAUAAUAUAUUGAACCGCAUGGUUCAAUAGUGAAAGACGGUUUUGCUGUCACUUAUAGAUGGAUCCGCGCCGCAUUAGCUAGUUGGUAAGGUAACGGCUUACCAAGGCGACGAUGCGUAGCCGACCUGAGAGGGUGAUCGGCCACACUGGAUCUGAGACACGGUCCAGACUCCUACGGGAGGCAGCAGUAGGGAAUCUUCCGCAAUGGGCGAAAGCCUGACGGAGCAACGCCGCGUGAGUGAUGAAGGUCUUCGGAUCGUAAAACUCUGUUAUUAGGGAAGAACAAAUGUGUAAGUAACUGUGCACGUCUUGACGGUACCUAAUCAGAAAGCCACGGCUAACUACGUG